AUAAUCAAUACAAACCAACAGACUACCAGCAUAUGCAACUCGGAAGACCAUUCAGUGAAAAUAAGAAAGAGCUUUGAUUUAACGCUUGUCUUUUGGGAAUAUUGUCAAGCUGUAAAGCAUGAUGAAGUUGAUAUUUUCUACCUUGGUAGGUUUGACGAUUAUGGUUGUUCUGAAAACAACACGGUCAAAUGCAGCUCUCGUUAAUGUUGCCCUUGGAAAACCUGCCUACCAGUCAAGUAAUUAUUCAAAAGAUUAUGAAA
This is a long non-coding RNA of Ruditapes philippinarum (Manila clam), 260 nucleotides long. RefSeq lists it as uncharacterized. The record is from RefSeq and is a predicted model, not a curated record. The transcript is spliced from 4 exons. Lineage: Eukaryota; Metazoa; Mollusca; Bivalvia; Venerida; Veneridae.